UACAGAGGUCUCAAGCGUUGUUCGGAUUCAUUGGGCGUAAAGGGUGCGUAGGUGGCGCGGUAAGUCGGGUGUGAAAUUUCGGAGCUUAACUCCGAAACUGCAUUCGAUACUGCCGAGCUUGAGGACUGGAGAGGAGACUGGAAUUUACGGUGUAGCAGUGAAAUGCGUAGAUAUCGUAAGGAAGACCAGUGGCGAAGGCGGGUCUCUGGACAGUUCCUGACACUGAGGCACGAAGGCCAGGGGAGCAAACGGG
This 253-nucleotide ribosomal RNA is filed under the name uncultured bacterium. Its description in RNAcentral is "partial 16S ribosomal RNA". It matches the Rfam family "Bacterial small subunit ribosomal RNA", at positions 524 to 776 of the family's 1533-position model. The record is from RNAcentral.